CCUACGGGAGGCUGCAGUGGGGAAUAUUGCACAAUGGGGGAAACCCUGAUGCAGCGACGCCGCGAGAGUGAAGAAGUAUUUCGGUAUGUAAAGCUCUAUCAGCAGGGAAGAAAAUGACGGUACCUGAGUAAGAAGCCCCGGCUAACUACGUGCCAGCAGCCGCGGUAAUACGUAGGGGGCAAGCGUUAUCCGGAUUUACUGGGUGUAAAGGGAGCGUAGACGGCAGCACAAGUCUGGAGUGAAAUGCCUGGGCUUAACCCCGGCACUGCUUUGGAAACUGUGCAGCUAGAGUGCAGGAGUGGUAAGUGGAAUUCCUAGUGUAGCGGUGAAAUGCGUAGAUAUUAGGAGGAACACCAGUGGCGAAGGCGGCUUACUGGACUGUAACUGACGUUGAGGCUCGAAAGCGUGGGGAGCAAACAGGAUUAGAUACCCCUGUAGUC
This 440-nucleotide ribosomal RNA is filed under the name uncultured bacterium. Its description in RNAcentral is "partial 16S ribosomal RNA". It matches the Rfam family "Bacterial small subunit ribosomal RNA", at positions 338 to 795 of the family's 1533-position model. The record is from RNAcentral.